Long non-coding RNA from Sinocyclocheilus rhinocerous, 115 nucleotides. RefSeq lists it as uncharacterized. The transcript has 3 exons. Lineage: Eukaryota; Metazoa; Chordata; Actinopteri; Cypriniformes; Cyprinidae. The record is from RefSeq and is a predicted model, not a curated record.
CAUUUCUCAAGGGCCUUGCACUGUUUUGGAGAAUGUAUUUCCAUUUGACAAACAAUUUAAUGUUGAUGUUUUGUUAAUGAUUUGUGGUUACUUAAUAAAAUAUGUCGCGUCUGGA